AGAGGACCAUUUUGUGCUAGGGCAGAUGUGGAAGGAAUCAUCUUUCAGAAGUUUUUCAUCCAGCAGUAUCUAAGCCAGUCCCUCUUCUCUGCCUUCCUUCUGUCUCCAUUUACAACUUCACUAUCCCUCCUGCCUCCUGGGACCAUAACCUUAGUUUUGUGUUCCCCAUUGCUGGGUGAGCAGCUUAUGAGAAAUAAACCACUGAGGCACAUCAAACCUUAUAAGAAGGCCAGGUCAGUAAUUCAGUGGCUGAGUUUUUCCAAUUCAUUCUCUUUCAAGUGGCUUGUCUGAAAACAAACAACAGAAAUAAAACCUUAUUGUGUCUCUUGUUGCUAUUUAACAAAACUAUAGAAAGACCUUUUGCCUUAAUAAUGCCAGUGACAUGCAUUUUGUUUAUCUUUCUAAUUAUUUAUUUAUAGUUGACAUGAAAAUGCUUCCCACUAGACAUCGCUGACUACAUGAAACCAAGUUGCGUGUUGCCUUUGUGAGACUUUUAUUAUAGCAUGAUUAAAAUAGUGCAUUAAUUAUGCAUCCUGCUAUAAAACUGGAUACAGCAGAGGAAAUAAAUACAUAUUAAUAAUACAUUAGUUAUUAAUCUCUAUAUUUGUUGCCUG
Long non-coding RNA from Cygnus olor (mute swan), 614 nucleotides. RefSeq lists it as uncharacterized. Lineage: Eukaryota; Metazoa; Chordata; Aves; Anseriformes; Anatidae. The record is from RefSeq and is a predicted model, not a curated record. The transcript has 3 exons.